This 117-nucleotide ribosomal RNA is filed under the name Vibrio ordalii FF-167. RNAcentral describes it as "partial 16S ribosomal RNA". It matches the Rfam family "Bacterial small subunit ribosomal RNA", at positions 1 to 106 of the family's 1533-position model. The record is from RNAcentral. RNAcentral also lists the same sequence under 2 other names. Lineage: Bacteria; Pseudomonadati; Pseudomonadota; Gammaproteobacteria; Vibrionales; Vibrionaceae.
ACUUUAAUUGAAGAGUUUGAUCAUGGCUCAGAUUGAACGCUGGCGGCAGGCCUAACACAUGCAAGUCGAGCGGCAGCACAGAGGAACUUGUUCCUUGGGUGGCGAGCGGCGGACGGG